RNAcentral lists this ribosomal RNA (1461 nucleotides) under uncultured bacterium. RNAcentral's name for it is "bacterial SSU rRNA". It matches the Rfam family "Bacterial small subunit ribosomal RNA". The record is from RNAcentral.
AGAGUUUGAUCCUGGCUCAGGAUGAACGCUAGCGGCGUGCCUAAUACAUGCAAGUCGAACGGAGAGUUAGCAAUAACUCUUAGUGGCGAACGGGUGAGUAACGCGUUGGUGACCUACCCCAAAGUGUGGGAUAACAGACCGAAAGGUCUGCUAAUACCUCAUGUGGUCAAGAGAGUUGAAUAUCUUUUGUCUAAAGCAGCAAUGCGCUUUGGGAUGGGCCUGCGUCCCAUCAGCUAGUUGGUAGGGUAAUGGCCUACCAAGGCGACGACGGGUAGGGGACCUGAGAGGGUGACCCCCCACACUGGUACUGAAACACGGACCAGACACCUGCGGGUGGCAGCAGUAGGGAAUAUUGGUCAAUGGACGAAAGUCUGAACCAGCAACGCCGCGUGUGCGAUGAAGGCCCUCGGGUCGUAAAGCACUUUUCUGUGGGAAGAGAAAGGACGGUACCACAGGAAUAAGUCUCGGCUAACUACGUGCCAGCAGCCGCGGUAACACGUAGGAGGCGAGCGUUAUCCGGGUUUACUGGGCGUAAAGCGCGUGUAGGCGGUUCGGUAAGUUGGAUGUGAAAUCUCCUGGCUCAACUAGGAGAGGUCGUUCAAUACUGCCAGACUAGAGGACGGUAGAGGAAGGUAGAAUUCCCGGUGUAGUGGUGAAAUGCGUAGAUAUCGGGAGGAAUACCAGUGGCGAAGGCGGCCUUCUGGGCCGUUCCUGACGCUCAGACGCGAAAGCGUGGGUAGCGAACGGGAUUAGAAACCCCGGUAGUCCACGCUGUAAACGAUGCGGACUUGGUGUUGGUGGCGUAAAAACCAUCAGUGCCGAAGCUAACGCGUUAAGUCCGCCGCCUGGGGACUACGGUCGCAAGAUUAAAACUCAAAGGAAUUGACGGGGACCCGCACAAGCAGCGGAGCGUGUGGUUUAAUUCGAGGCUACGCGAAGAACCUUACCUGGGCUUGACAUAUAGGUGGUAGGGAUCCGAAAGGUGACCGACCCCUCGGGGAGCCUAUACAGGUGAUGCAUGGCUGUCGUCAGCUCGUGUCGUGAGAUGUCCGGUUAAGUCCGGUAACGAGCGCAACCCUUGCCGUAUGUUACACGUGUCAUGCGGAACUGCCGGUAUCAAGCCGGAGGAAGGUGGGGAUGACGUCAAGUCAGCAUGUCCUUUAUGUCCAGGGCUACACACACGCUACAAUGGUCGGUACAAUAGGUUGCAAAGCCGCGAGGUGGAGCCAAUCCUCAAAGCCGGCCUCAGUUCGGAUUGUAGGCUGCAACUCGCCUACACGAAGUUGGAGUUGCUAGUAACCGCGCGUCAGCACAGUGCGGUGAAUACGUUCCCGGGUCUUGUACACACCGCCCGUCACGUCAUGGGAGCUGGUAACACCUGAAGUCGGUAGCCUAACCUGCAAAGGAAGGCGCUGCCUAAGGUGGGGCUGGUGACUGGGACGAAGUCGUAACAAGGUAACC